This 277-nucleotide ribosomal RNA is filed under the name uncultured bacterium. RNAcentral describes it as "partial 16S ribosomal RNA". It matches the Rfam family "Bacterial small subunit ribosomal RNA", at positions 28 to 306 of the family's 1533-position model. The record is from RNAcentral.
GACGAACGCUGGCGGCGUGCCUAACACAUGCAAGUCGAACGGGGCCGGGGGCAACUCCGGCUCAGUGGCGGACGGGUGCGUAACACGUGAGGAACGUACCCAUCGGUGGGGGAUAGCCGGCCCAACGGCCGGGUAAUACCGCGUACGACCUUCGGGGGGCAUCCCUCGGGGGUGAAAGCAGCAAUGCGCCGAUGGAGCGCCUCGCGGCCUAUCAGCUAGUUGGUGGGGUAAUGGCUCACCAAGGCGACGACGGGUAGCUGGUCUGAGAGGAUGAUCA